This 253-nucleotide ribosomal RNA is filed under the name uncultured microorganism. Its description in RNAcentral is "partial 16S ribosomal RNA". It matches the Rfam family "Bacterial small subunit ribosomal RNA", at positions 524 to 776 of the family's 1533-position model. The record is from RNAcentral.
UACGGAGGGGGCAAGCGUUGUCCGGAAUUACUGGGCGUAAAGCGCAUGUAGGCGGGCGACUAAGUCAGGGGUGAAAACCGUGGGCUCAACCUACGGCUUGCCUUUGAUACUGGUCGUCUUGAGUACAGGAGAGGGAAGCGGAAUUCCCGGUGUAGCGGUGAAAUGCGUAGAUAUCGGGAGGAAGGCCGGUGGCGAAGGCGGCCUCCUGGGCCUGCACUGACGCUGAGGCGCGAAAGCGUGGGGAGCAAACAGG